UACGGAGGAUGCGAGCGUUAUCCGGAUUUAUUGGGUUUAAAGGGUGCGUAGGCGGCUUUUUAAGUCAGCGGUGAAAUUUUGCAGCUUAACUGUAACAGUGCCGUUGAUACUGUGAGGCUAGGAUUUGGUUGCUGUGGGUGGAAUGUGUGGUGUAGCGGUGAAGUGCUUAGAGAUCACACAGAAUAUCGAUUGCGAAGGCAGCUCACAAAGCCAAGAUUGACGCUGAGGCACGAAAGUGUGGGGAUCAAACAGGA
Molecule: ribosomal RNA, 254 nt
Filed under: uncultured prokaryote
Description: partial 16S ribosomal RNA
Rfam family: Bacterial small subunit ribosomal RNA
Source: RNAcentral